CCUACGGGGGGCUGCAGUGAGGAAUAUUGGUCAAUGGGCGAGAGCCUGAACCAGCCAAGUCGCGUGAGGGAGUACUGCCCUAUGGGUUGUAAACCUCUUUUGUCGGGGAGCAAAAGCCGGACGUGUCCGGCUGUGAGAGUACCCGAAGAAAAAGCAUCGGCUAACUCCGUGCCAGCAGCCGCGGUAAUACGGAGGAUGCGAGCGUUAUCCGGAUUUAUUGGGUUUAAAGGGUGCGCAGGCGGAUUUUUAAGUCAGCGGUAAAAUCGUGGGGCUCAACCCCAUCCAGCCGUUGAAACUGGGGAUCUAGAGUGGGCGAGAGGUAUGCGGAAUGCGUGGUGUAGCGGUGAAAUGCAUAGAUAUCACGCAGAACCCCGAUUGCGAAGGCAGCAUACCGGUGCACAACUGACGCUCAGGCACGAAAGCGUGGGUAUCGAACAGGAUUAGAUACCCUGGUAGUC
This 458-nucleotide ribosomal RNA is filed under the name uncultured bacterium. RNAcentral's name for it is "partial 16S ribosomal RNA". It matches the Rfam family "Bacterial small subunit ribosomal RNA", at positions 338 to 795 of the family's 1533-position model. The record is from RNAcentral.